Molecule: non-coding RNA, 520 nt
Organism: Paramuricea clavata
Lineage: Eukaryota; Metazoa; Cnidaria; Anthozoa; Malacalcyonacea; Plexauridae
Source: the annotation of a GenBank genome assembly
CACGUUUUAGGAAUAGUGGAUUUGCGUUGGCUUUCUGUUGGCCCAACAAAACCCAACAACACUAGUUCCAGGCUAUUUGCCUAUCGCGCGAAAAUAUGCAAAGUGAUCAUUAAUUAAUUGACUUUUCAUGUGUUUGUCUAAUAUUUUCCAAAGCAAGAAUAUAUAGAGAAGAAAUGUUAUUAAUAUGGAAAAUUCAAGAAAAGAAAACUGUUUGAUGGUCUAGACAUUGUCAAUAAUCUACAAUUGAGAGUGACUGAGUCCUGAGGUGAGUUGUGAUAUUCGAGGUGAUGAUAUUCGUUCUGCAUGAGCAUAUAGGCAUGAAUAUUUAUAAAGUCAUGUUACACGCAAAUAUUCAUACAUAAACAUGUUGUCAACCAGAGCACCACUUUCCACGAUAUCGGAUAAUUUAAUGUCUUUAAUUCAUCAUUCAAACUUAAAACGAAACUGUAAGCCAUAACUUAAACCUAGAAAAUAUAUAAUUUGUUAUAUCGAAGUAUAAAUGUCCAUGGAUGUUUUCGCU